RNAcentral lists this transfer RNA (85 nucleotides) under Eukaryota sp. BB2. RNAcentral's name for it is "tRNA-Ser". It matches the Rfam family "tRNA". Rfam says of the family: Transfer RNA (tRNA) molecules are approximately 80 nucleotides in length. Their secondary structure includes four short double-helical elements and three loops (D, anti-codon, and T loops). The record is from RNAcentral.
GGAGAUAUAGCAAAGCGGUCGAAUGCGCUUGCUUGGAAAGCAAGUAGAUGUGAUAGUCUCAUGGGUUCAAAUCCCAUUAUCUCCU